UUGGUUAAGCUACUAAGAGCACACGGAGGAUGCCUAGGCGCCAGGAGCCGACGAAGGACGUGGCGAACAACGAAAAGGCCUCGGGGAGCUGUAAGCAAGCUUUGAUCCGGGGGUGUCCGAAUGGGGAAACCCGGCUGUGGUAAUGCACAGUCACUUCCAUCUGAAUACAUAGGAUGGAUAGAGGCAGACCAGGGGAACUGAAACAUCUAAGUACCCUGAGGAAGAGAAAACAAGAGUGAUUCCGUCAGUAGCGGCGAGCGAACGCGGAACAGCCUAAACCGAAGAGCUUGCUCUUCGGGGUUGUGGGACGUCUUACACGGAGUUACAAAGGAAUAGGGUAAACGAAGAGGUCUGGAAAGGCCCGCCAGAGAAGGUAACAGCCCUGUAAUUGAAAGUCUAUUCCCUCCAAGACGGAUCCCGAGUAGUGCGGGGCACGUGAAACCCCGUAUGAAUCCGGCAGGACCAUCUGCCAAGGCUAAAUACUCCCUGGCGACCGAUAGUGAAACAGUACCGUGAGGGAAAGGUGAAAAGCACCCCGGAAGGGGAGUGAAACAGUGCCUGAAACCGUGUGCUUACAAGAAGUCAGAGCCCAUUUUAGGGGUGAUGGCGUGCCUUUUGUAGAAUGAACCGGCGAGUUACGUUUAACGUGCAAGGUUAAGGCGAGGAGCCGGAGCCGCAGCGAAAGCGAGUCUGAAUAGGGCGCUUAAGUACGUGGGCGUAGACCCGAAACCGGGUGAUCUACCCCUGUCCAGGGUGAAGGUGCGGUAACACGCACUGGAGGCCCGAACCCACGAACGUUGAAAAGUUCGGGGAUGAGGUGGGGGUAGCGGAGAAAUUCCAAUCGAACUCGGAGAUAGCUGGUUCUCCCCGAAAUAGCUUUAGGGCUAGCCUCGGUGAAUAAGAGUAAUGGAGGUAGAGCACUGAUUGGGUGCGGGGCCCGCAAGGGUUACCAAGCUCAGUCAAACUCCGAAUGCCAUCUACUUGUCGCCGGGAGUCAGACAGUGAGUGCUAAGAUCCAUUGUCAAAAGGGAAACAGCCCAGACCAUCAGCUAAGGUCCCCAAGUGUGUGUUAAGUGGGAAAGGAUGUGGAGUUGCACAGACAACCAGGAUGUUGGCUUAGAAGCAGCCACCAUUGAAAGAGUGCGUAAUAGCUCACUGGUCGAGUGACUCUGCGCCGAAAAUGUAACGGGGCUAAACACACCACCGAAGCUAUGGCUUGAUGCUUGCAUCAGGGGUAGGGGAGCGUUGUAUGCGGGUUGAAGGUUGACUGUAAGGACAGCUGGACUGCAUACAAGUGAGAAUGCCGGUAUGAGUAACGAAAAGAUCAGUGAGAAUCUGAUCCGCCGAAAGCCCAAGGUUUCCUGAGGAAGGCUCGUCCGCUCAGGGUCAGUCGGGACCUAAGGCGAGGCCGACAGGCGUAGUCGAAGGACAACAGGUUGAUAUUCCUGUACCACCAUAAUCCGUUAUGAGCAAUGGGGGGACGCAGGAGGGUAGUGACGCGGACUGAUGGAUGUCCGUCCAAGCAGUGAGGCUGAUGUGUAGGCAAAUCCGCGCAUCGCAAGGCCAGGCUGUGAUGGGGAGCGAAAACUAUAGUAGCGAAGGUCAUGAUCUCACACUGCCAAGAAAAGCCUCUAGCCAGGAGAAGGUGCCCGUACCGCAAACCGACACAGGUAGGCGAGAAGAGAAUUCUAAGGCGCGCGGAAGAACUCUCGUUAAGGAACUCGGCAAAAUGACCCCGUAACUUCGGGAGAAGGGGUGCCUCGGUAGGGUGAAUAGCCCGAGGGGGCCGCAGUGAAAAGGCCCAAGCGACUGUUUAGCAAAAACACAGGUCUGUGCGAAGCCGCAAGGCGAAGUAUACGGGCUGACGCCUGCCCGGUGCUGGAAGGUUAAGGGGAGCGGUUAGGGGUAACCCGAAGCUGUGAACCGAAGCCCCAGUAAACGGCGGCCGUAACUAUAACGGUCCUAAGGUAGCGAAAUUCCUUGUCAGGUAAAUUCUGACCCGCACGAAUGGCGUAACGACUUGGGCGCUGUCUCAACGAGAGAUCCGGUGAAAUUUUAAUACCUGUGAAGAUGCAGGUUACCCGCGACAAGACGGAAAGACCCCAUGGAGCUUUACUGCAGCUUGAUAUUGAACUUGGGUACGAUCUGUACAGGAUAGGUGGGAGCCUUGGAAGCCGGAGCGCCAGCUUCGGUGGAGGCGCCGUUGGGAUACCACCCUGAUCGUAUCUAGGUUCUAACCUGGUACCCUAAGCGGGUACGGGGACCGUGUCAGGCGGGCAGUUUGACUGGGGCGGUCGCCUCCUAAAGAGUAACGGAGGCGUCCCAAGGUUCCCUCAGAAUGGUUGGAAAUCAUUCGAAGAGUGCAAAGGCAGAAGGGAGCUUGACUGCGAGACCUACAAGUCGAGCAGGGACGAAAGUCGGGCUUAGUGAUCCGGUGGUACCGCAUGGAAGGGCCAUCGCUCAACGGAUAAAAGCUACCCUGGGGAUAACAGGCUUAUCUCCCCCAAGAGUCCACAUCGACGGGGAGGUUUGGCACCUCGAUGUCGGCUCAUCGCAUCCUGGGGCUGAAGUAGGUCCCAAGGGUUGGGCUGUUCGCCCAUUAAAGCGGUACGCGAGCUGGGUUCAGAACGUCGUGAGACAGUUCGGUCCCUAUCUGUCGUGGGCGUAGGAAAUUUGAGAGGAGCUGUCCUUAGUACGAGAGGACCGGGAUGGACGUACCGCUGGUGCACCAGUUGUUCCGCCAGGAGCAUGGCUGGGUAGCUACGUACGGACGGGAUAAGCGCUGAAAGCAUCUAAGCGUGAAGCCCCCCUCAAGAUGAGAUUUCCCAAUAUGUAAGACCCCUUGAAGACGACGAGGUAGAUAGGUUGGAGGUGGAAGCACGGCAACGUGUGGAGCUGACCAAUACUAAUCGGUCGAGGGCUUAUCCAAAUU
RNAcentral lists this ribosomal RNA (2932 nucleotides) under Paenibacillus durus ATCC 35681. RNAcentral describes it as "bacterial LSU rRNA". It matches the Rfam family "Bacterial large subunit ribosomal RNA". Lineage: Bacteria; Bacillati; Bacillota; Bacilli; Caryophanales; Paenibacillaceae. The record is from RNAcentral.